CUUUCUGCCCAUCAUCUACUUGAUUUGCUUCCUUGUUCAGACUUCUCUGUCUCAUUUCUAGAGCUGGGUUUGAUCCCUUGAACCAUUUUGAUGCUUUGAACCCUCUUGGCUCUGAUUUCAUCCCUGGAGGCUUGUCCUAAUUCUGUUAUUCUCAUCUGUAAUUUUACCUAUUUGUCUUUGUAACUCAUUUCCAUAGAUGGUGGUAGUCUCACAAGCCCUCUGCUGAUGGUGUUUUUCUCUCAAUGCUGCUUUUCUCUUCAAAAAGUCAUUUAUAGAGCAGCUGCAGUUUCAAAGGAGACCAGAUAGUUCUGGAAGGAAGGAGUGGUUGGUGAUCCAAGGAAUCCAUGAGCUGUCCCAAUGGCCCUGCCGUUUCUGGUGGGAUUUGGUGAAGAAAAUCCCUGACAGUGGUGGCCAAGGGGAUUGGUAGCCUGGGUUUUGCUGCUGACAGAUAAGAGACUUGGUGACAGGGAAAGCUGCUGGCUUUGUGUCCUGUCAGGAGAUCCCACAAACCUCUCUGAGCUCCAAGUCCUCAGCUCCUGUCAGGCAUUUGCUGGCAUUCAGGUGCAUCUUAUGCUCAUGGCUCUGUGUUCUGCACUCCUGCCCCAUGGAAAAAACCUUGGGUUUCCCCCAGAGCUGGCUGCUCAUCCUCCUCACCUCCUGUUCCAGCAGAUUUCUUGGAGCUGCUCACCACCUAGUGAGCUUAGCAGUCCUUAAGUAACUAAUGAAUGGCAGUGCAAUAUGUUUGUUAUUAAUUUUAUUUUUCUGGUGACUCAAGAAGUUGGAUUCAGGCCAAACCACCUCUUCAUGUGAUCUCCAAGGAGUAAGGACAGGAGGUUUCCUGCUUCCUGCUGUACUGCAUGUGCUUUUCUCUGCUCUUUUGGGAGCUGGCUUUCCUUAGCCAUGUGUACCAAUGCUUGCAUGACAAUAAAAAAGGCAUUUGUGAAAGAAAAAGAA
Catharus ustulatus (Swainson's thrush) is the source of this 954-nucleotide long non-coding RNA. RefSeq lists it as uncharacterized. The record is from RefSeq and is a predicted model, not a curated record. NCBI's taxonomy places the organism in Eukaryota, Metazoa, Chordata, Aves, Passeriformes, Turdidae. The transcript has 2 exons.